Molecule: transfer RNA, 68 nt
Filed under: Dendrocygna javanica (lesser whistling duck)
Lineage: Eukaryota; Metazoa; Chordata; Aves; Anseriformes; Anatidae
Description: tRNA-Glu
Rfam family: tRNA
About the family: Transfer RNA (tRNA) molecules are approximately 80 nucleotides in length. Their secondary structure includes four short double-helical elements and three loops (D, anti-codon, and T loops).
Source: RNAcentral
GUUCCUGUAGUUGAAUACAAUAACGGCUUUUCAAGCCGUAGGUCUCGGAUAGUUGCUGAGCAGGAAUA